UACGUAGGGUGCGAGCGUUGUCCGGAAUUAUUGGGCGUAAAGAGCUCGUAGGCGGCUUGUCACGUCGGAUGUGAAAGCUCGGGGCUUAACCCCGAGUCUGCAUUCGAUACGGGCUAGCUAGAGUGUGGUAGGGGAGAUCGGAAUUCCUGGUGUAGCGGUGAAAUGCGCAGAUAUCAGGAGGAACACCGAUGGCGAAGGCAGAUCUCUGGGCCGUAACUGACGCUGAGGAGCGAAAGCAUGGGGAGCGAACAGG
Molecule: ribosomal RNA, 253 nt
Filed under: uncultured bacterium
Lineage: Bacteria
Description: partial 16S ribosomal RNA
Rfam family: Bacterial small subunit ribosomal RNA
Source: RNAcentral